AUGAACGCUGGCGGCGUGCCUAAUCCAUGCAAGUCGAGCGAACAGACGAGGAGCUCGCUCCUCUGACGUUAGCGGCGGACGGGUGAGUAACACGUGGAUAACCUACCUAUAAGACUGGGAUAACUUCGGGAAACCGGAGCUAAUACCGGAUAAUAUAUUGAACCGCAUGGUUCAAUAGUGAAAGACGGUUUUGCUGUCACUUAUAGAUGGAUCCGCGCCGCAUUAGCUAGUUGGUAAGGUAACGGCUUACCAAGGCAACGAUGCGUAGCCGACCUGAGAGGGUGAUCGGCCACACUGGAACUGAGACACGGUCCAGACUCCUACGGGAGGCAGCAGUAGGGAAUCUUCCGCAAUGGGCGAAAGCCUGACGGAGCAACGCCGCGUGAGUGAUGAAGGUCUUCGGAUCGUAAAACUCUGUUAUUAGGGAAGAACAAAUGUGUAAGUAACUAUGCACGUCUUGACGGUACCUAAGCAGAAAGCCACGGCUAACUACGU
RNAcentral lists this ribosomal RNA (495 nucleotides) under uncultured bacterium. RNAcentral describes it as "partial 16S ribosomal RNA". It matches the Rfam family "Bacterial small subunit ribosomal RNA", at positions 29 to 506 of the family's 1533-position model. The record is from RNAcentral.